Molecule: signal recognition particle RNA, 299 nt
Filed under: Aotus nancymaae (Ma's night monkey)
Lineage: Eukaryota; Metazoa; Chordata; Mammalia; Primates; Aotidae
Description: Metazoan signal recognition particle RNA (ENSANAG00000003304.1)
Rfam family: Metazoan signal recognition particle RNA
About the family: The signal recognition particle (SRP) is a universally conserved ribonucleoprotein. It is involved in the co-translational targeting of proteins to membranes.
Source: Rfam by way of RNAcentral
GCCGGGCGCGGUGGCGCGCGCCUGUAAUCCCAGCUCCCCGGGAGGCUGAGGUCGGCGGAUCGCGGGUGCUCGGGAGUUCGGGGCUGCGGCGAUGUGUGGAGCGGGCGUCCGCACCGGGCCUGGCACCAACAUGGGGCUCCCGGGGGAGCCCGGGGGUGCCAGGUUGUCUAAGGAGGGGGGGACCAGGCCCAGGCCGGACACGGAGCAGGUCAAACUCCCCGUGCUGGGCGGCGGUGGGACCGCGCCCGCGAGCAACGCCUGCAGUUCUGCCCGGGACAUCUGACGAGACCCGGUCUCUU